Molecule: ribosomal RNA, 276 nt
Filed under: Pseudomonas koreensis
Lineage: Bacteria; Pseudomonadati; Pseudomonadota; Gammaproteobacteria; Pseudomonadales; Pseudomonadaceae
Also listed under: 1 other name
Description: partial 16S ribosomal RNA
Rfam family: Bacterial small subunit ribosomal RNA
Source: RNAcentral
CAUGCAGUCGAGCGGAUGAAGGGAGCUUGCUCCCGGAUUCAGCGGCGGACGGGUGAGUAAUGCCUAGGAAUCUGCCUGGUAGUGGGGGACAACGUUUCGAAAGGAACGCUAAUACCGCAUACGUCCUACGGGAGAAAGCAGGGGACCUUCGGGCCUUGCGCUAUCAGAUGAGCCUAGGUCGGAUUAGCUAGUUGGUGAGGUAAUGGCUCACCAAGGCGACGAUCCGUAACUGGUCUGAGAGGAUGAUCAGUCACACUGGAACUGAGACACGGUCCA